This 253-nucleotide ribosomal RNA is filed under the name uncultured bacterium. Its description in RNAcentral is "partial 16S ribosomal RNA". It matches the Rfam family "Bacterial small subunit ribosomal RNA", at positions 524 to 776 of the family's 1533-position model. The record is from RNAcentral.
UACGUAGGUCCCGAGCGUUGUCCGGAUUUAUUGGGCGUAAAGGGAGCGUAGACGGCACUGCAAGUCUGGAGUGAAAGCCCGAGGCCCAACCACGGGACUGCUCUGGAAACUGCGGGGCUGGAAUGCAGGAGAGGUAAGCGGAAUUCCUAGUGUAGCGGUGAAAUGCGUAGAUAUUAGGAGGAACACCAGUGGCGAAGGCGGCUUACUGGACUGUAACUGACGUUGAGGCUCGAAGGCGUGGGGAGCAAACAGG